GAGUUUGAUCCUGGCUCAGGAUGAACGCUGGCGGCGUGCCUAAUACAUGCAAGUCGAGCGAACAGAUAAGGAGCUUGCUCCUUUGACGUUAGCGGCGGACGGGUGAGUAACACGUGGGUAACCUACCUAUAAGACUGGAAUAACUCCGGGAAACCGGGGCUAAUGCCGGAUAAUAUUUAGAACCGCAUGGUUCUAAAGUGAAAGAUGGUUUUACUAUCACUUAUAGAUGGACCCGCGCCGUAUUAGCUAGUUGGUGGGGUAAUGGCUUACCAAGGCAACGAUACGUAGCCGACCUGAGAGGGUGAUCGGCCACACUGGAACUGAGACACGGUCCAGACUCCUACGGGAGGCAGCAGUAGGGAAUCUUCCGCAAUGGGCGAAAGCCUGACGGAGCAACGCCGCGUGAGUGAUGAAGGUCUUCGGAUCGUAAAACUCUGUUAUUAGGGAAGAACAAAUGUGUAAGUAACUGUGCACGUCUUGACGGUACCUAAUCAGAAAGCCACGGCUAACUACGUGCCAGCAG
This 523-nucleotide ribosomal RNA is filed under the name uncultured bacterium. RNAcentral describes it as "bacterial SSU rRNA". It matches the Rfam family "Bacterial small subunit ribosomal RNA", at positions 9 to 514 of the family's 1533-position model. The record is from RNAcentral.